GAGAGCUGGGGCGGCGCCGCUCUCCGCCGCAGAAAACCCUGAGCUCGGCGCGCCGAGAGUCCCAGCAGGGCAAGGGGGCGCGGCGUCCUGGUCCUCGAGCUUGGGAGACAGAUGCUUAUGGGCAUGGGGGCAUGAGGACCUAAGCUCGGGUGAAGCUCUCGGGAAGGGCAAGACUGCGGCGACGAGAUGCGAGCAGAGGAGCCCUGCGCCCCCGGGGCCCCCAGCGCCCCGGGAGCCCAGCGCGCGCAGGGCCCUGAGCUGCGCCUGUCCAGCCAGCUACUGCCGGAGCUCUGUACCUUCGUGGUGCGCGUGCUGUUCUACCUGGGGCCUGUCUACCUAGCUGGCUACCUGGGGCUCAGCAUAACCUGGUUGCUGCUCGGCGCCCUGCUGUGGAUGUGGUGGCGCAGGAACCGCCGCGGGAAGCUCGGGCGCCUGGCCGCCGCCUUCGAAUUCCUUGACAAUGAACGCGAGUUCAUCAGCCGCGAGCUGCGGGGCCAGCACCUGCCAGCCUGGAUCCACUUCCCGGACGUGGAGCGGGUCGAGUGGGCCAACAAGAUCAUCUCUCAGACCUGGCCCUACCUAAGCAUGAUCAUGGAAAGCAAGUUCCGGGAGAAACUUGAGCCCAAGAUCCGAGAGAAGAGCAUCCACCUGAGGACCUUUACCUUUACCAAGCUCUACUUUGGACAGAAGUGUCCCAGGGUCAAUGGUGUCAAGGCACACACUAACACGUGCAACCGAAGACGUGUGACUGUGGACCUGCAGAUCUGCUACAUCGGGGACUGUGAGAUCAGUGUGGAGCUGCAGAAGAUUCAGGCUGGUGUGAACGGGAUCCAGUUGCAGGGCACCCUGCGGGUCAUCCUGGAGCCCCUCCUAGUGGACAAGCCCUUCGUGGGAGCCGUGACUGUGUUCUUCCUUCAGAAGCCGCACCUACAGAUCAACUGGACUGGCCUGACCAACCUGCUAGAUGCGCCGGGAAUCAAUGACGUGUCAGACAGCCUGCUGGAGGACCUCAUUGCCGCCCACCUGGUGCUGCCCAACCGUGUGACUGUGCCUGUGAAGAAGGGGCUGGAUCUGACCAACCUGCGCUUCCCUCUGCCCUGUGGGGUGAUCAGAGUGCACUUGCUGGAGGCAGAGAAGCUGGCCCAGAAGGACAAUUUUCUGGGGCUCCGAGGCAAGUCAGAUCCCUACGCCAAGGUGAGCAUCGGCCUACAGCAUUUCCGGAGUAGGACCAUCUACAGGAACCUGAACCCCACCUGGAACGAAGUGUUUGAGUUCAUGGUGUACGAAGUCCCUGGACAGGACCUGGAGGUAGACCUGUAUGAUGAGGAUACCGACAGGGAUGACUUCCUGGGCAGCCUGCAGAUCUGCCUUGGAGAUGUCAUGACCAACAGAGUGGUAGAUGAGUGGUUUGUCCUGAAUGACACAACCAGUGGGCGGCUGCACCUGCGGCUGGAGUGGCUUUCAUUGCUUACUGACCAAGAAGCUCUGACUGAGGACCAUGGUGGCCUUUCCACUGCCAUUCUCGUGGUCUUCUUGGAGAGUGCCUGCAACUUGCCGAGAAACCCUUUUGACUACCUGAAUGGUGAAUAUCGAGCCAAAAAACUCUCCAGGUUUGCCAGAAACAAGGUCAGCAAAGACCCUUCUUCCUAUGUCAAACUAUCUGUAGGCAAGAAGACACAUACAAGUAAGACCUGUCCCCACAACAAGGACCCUGUGUGGAGCCAGGUGUUCUCCUUCUUUGUGCACAAUGUGGCCACUGAGCAGCUCCAUCUGAAGGUUUGCUGGAAGAAGGGCUCUUGAAACCAGAGUUAAGAGGUUUCUAAGCCAGGCGGGCUGGGAAGCUUGAAGUGCACCUUGAGCAGGUUCUCCUGGCAGUGUUUAAAGUCAGCCCCUUGUAUGUGAGAGAGAACACUGAGGCCCCACAAGGCCUCAUCUCCUUAAGGCUAGUGCCUGAGGUCAUUGUAUAGGGGGAUGUGGGAGGAUAAAUCCUCAAGUCCCUUGACUUUCCCUGCAAAGGGGUCUUUAUAUUUGCUACACAGUACCCAGAGUAGCCUAUCUACACAGGACAUUAAUAAUGGUACACUUUAAAAUAUAUAUAUUUCAUUUAAUCUUCACAAAAGAUCUGUAGAGUAAGCAAAGAGAGGCAAAAACAAUGUUUUGUCCAAGAUCUCAUGACCAACAAGUGGUGGAGCUGGGAUCUUUUGGGGCCCUGAGCCCUGCCUGGAGAGCAGCACAGCUCAUCAAUCCCCAAAGCCCCCUGGCUCUGGGCAUUUAACAGACUAGCUCAUACAGAUCAUAAUUGCCUCUACUCUGAGUCACUGUCUUCCCUGACAGAAGACAAGGACCAGGUCUGGCCUGAUCCCUUUCUAGUUUACAGAAUAGGACCAGAUGUCCAUAGAAGCACAGUACAGACUGAAGUAAACCCAAACUCGGCUGGGGCUCAGAUACUAGUAGUGGAGUGGUGGGGCUUGGUUAUCCUCUUGUUUUGUGACUGGACCACUGCCCAGGUGCUUGAUGAUGACCAGGAGUGUGCUCUGGGAAUGCUGGAGGUCCCCCUGUGCCAGAUCCUCCCCUAUGCUGACCUCACUCUUGAGCAGCGCUUUCAGCUGGACCACUCAGGCCUGGACAGCCUCAUCUCCAUGAGGCUGGUGCUUCGGUUCUUGCAAGUGGAGGAACGAGAGCUGGGGAGCCCAUACACUGGACCUGAAGCCCUAAAGAAAGGCCCUCUGCUCAUCAAGAAAGUGGCUACCAACCAGGGUCCCAAAGCCCAACCUCAGGAAGAAGGCCCUACAGAUUUGCCAUGUCCCCCAGACCCUGCUUUUGAUACUAAGGACGCAUCCAGGAGUACCACAGCCACCACCAGUGCUACCACCGUUGCCACUGAACCCACACCCCAAGAGACAGGCCCAGAGCCUAAAGGCAAGGACAGUGCCAAAAGGUUCUGUGAGCCCAUGGGGGAGAAGAAGAGUCCAGCCACCAUCUUCCUGACUGUCCCAGGUCCCCACUCUCCAGGGCCCAUCAAGUCACCCAGACCCAUGAAAUGCCCUGCCUCCCCAUUCGCAUGGCCGCCCAAGAGGCUGGCUCCCAGCAUGUCCUCGCUCAACUCCUUGGCCUCUUCUUGCUUUGACCUGGCAGAUAUCAGCCUCAACAUUGAGUAUGCACCUCUCUGCUUAAUCUUUUCUAAAAUCGCCUGUAUGAAAAAUACCUCGCUGGAUGGAAAAGUAGAUAUGAACUUACAUUUCUGUGCAAGUUGUUUUUUCACAAAAUAUCUUCCUAAGAGGCAGCAUGGUGUGGUAGAAAGAACACAGGACAAGGGAGAGAGAGCCAAACAGGCUGUUUAUGGCUCUAGCUGCGUACUGACUAUAAAAUAGAUGCUGGACUCUGGUUGAGGUGGGGACCUCAGGCGACGGCAGCUGGGCGAGAUUCAGCUCACAGUGCGCUAUGUGUGUCUGCGGCGCUGCCUCAGUGUGCUAAUCAAUGGCUGCAGAAACCUAACACCAUGUACCAGCAGUGGAGCUGAUCCCUACGUCCGUGUCUACUUGUUGCCAGAAAGGAAGUGGGCAUGUCGUAAGAAGACUUCAGUGAAGCGGAAGACCUUGGAACCCCUGUUUGAUGAGACAUUUGAAUUUUUUGUUCCCAUGGAAGAAGUAAAGAAGAGGUCACUAGACGUUGCAGUGAAAAAUAGUAGGCCACUUGGCUCACACAGAAGAAAGGAGUUAGGAAAAGUACUGAUUGACUUAUCAAAAGAAGAUCUGAUUAAGGGCUUUUCACAAUGGUAUGAGCUGACUCCAAAUGGACAGCCCAGAAGCUGAUGAUGAGAAUCCUUAUCACUCACCUUUAUAUUAAAAUGUAUAUAUAUGUAUAUAUUUUUUCCUUUGGAUCACUUACAUCAAAUAUAUGUAUAUUUUGUCAUUUAAAUCAGAACCACCACUUGAAAUUAUAUACAUAUAAUUCUUGUGUGGAAUUUAACUCCAUGACUGAAUAGCAUAAGGAAGAGGUUAUUUAAAAGCAAGAACUA
Molecule: small RNA, 4018 nt
Filed under: Pongo abelii (Sumatran orangutan)
Lineage: Eukaryota; Metazoa; Chordata; Mammalia; Primates; Hominidae
Description: retained intron
Source: RNAcentral